GGCGGCUGCUAGCUGGCCCUCCUUCCUGAUGCGGAUCCUUCACCCCAUCACACAGCCAGCUUGGAGGUGGGCCAUGUAGGACCUCGGUCUCAAACCACUCCCAGGCCAAUCAUCUGGCCUCAAGAAGUAUCUGCUGUGGAGUAUUACCACCGAAAAACACCUACCGUCCUCUCAGCCAUCUUCCAAGGUGGUUUCAACAUGGGGCAUCUGCAAAGAAGCUUCGGUCCUCGUUUCUCCAUCUGGGAGCAGCCCUGGCUACAUCAGUGCCUCCUAUUAAAACCAGCCUAAUGAAGGAUGCUCGGGGCUUGAAAGGGCCGGGGCGCUGCUUGUCCUGCCGCCUGCCGGGCCUUUUGUGCUGUAUAGAGUUGUCUCUCUUGUCGGAGCCAGGAACCAGACAGCUGGAAAACAGGCUUCAAUUCAGCCAUCAAACUGAAUAUUGCGUGAAGAGCAGGGAAGGAAGAGUGCUUCUGAAAAGAAAAGUAGAACAAGAGGAAAAGCAUGACGUGGUGGGCUUGGGGAUUCCUUUAAAGAGUGACUAUACUGAGGGAUGAAUGGUCAGUAAAGCACCUCUCUUGCUGGGUAUGGCUCAGUCUUAAGUCUUGUGUUCUGGUCCAUUUACUUCCUGCUGCUCCUGAAGAGUCAUCCCCCUUAAGAACCUGCUCUAGUGGCCGAAGUGAAUGAAUGCUGGUGUAGUCCCUCCCAGCAGCACAGGCAUGUGUACCCAGGCAUGCUCACACAUGCUCACACACAUAGACAUACACAUCACAUACACACACAUACACACAGUGUUACUGAUUAUUGUCAGCAUUUCAAGAAAAAAAAAUGAGUUCUCAUCUUCCCACUGUGCAGUGGUA
RNAcentral lists this long non-coding RNA (854 nucleotides) under Vulpes vulpes (red fox). RNAcentral describes it as "lncRNA (ENSVVUG00000002889.1)". The record is from RNAcentral. Lineage: Eukaryota; Metazoa; Chordata; Mammalia; Carnivora; Canidae.